Molecule: ribosomal RNA, 1272 nt
Filed under: Escherichia coli
Lineage: Bacteria; Pseudomonadati; Pseudomonadota; Gammaproteobacteria; Enterobacterales; Enterobacteriaceae
Description: partial 23S ribosomal RNA
Rfam family: Bacterial large subunit ribosomal RNA
Source: RNAcentral
AUAAUGGGUCAGCGACUUAUAUUCUGUAGCAAGGUUAACCGAAUAGGGGAGCCGAAGGGAAACCGAGUCUUAACUGGGCGUUAAGUUGCAGGGUAUAGACCCGAAACCCGGUGAUCUAGCCAUGGGCAGGUUGAAGGUUGGGUAACACUAACUGGAGGACCGAACCGACUAAUGUUGAAAAAUUAGCGGAUGACUUGUGGCUGGGGGUGAAAGGCCAAUCAAACCGGGAGAUAGCUGGUUCUCCCCGAAAGCUAUUUAGGUAGCGCCUCGUGAAUUCAUCUCCGGGGGUAGAGCACUGUUUCGGCAAGGGGGUCAUCCCGACUUACCAACCCGAUGCAAACUGCGAAUACCGGAGAAUGUUAUCACGGGAGACACACGGCGGGUGCUAACGUCCGUCGUGAAGAGGGAAACAACCCAGACCGCCAGCUAAGGUCCCAAAGUCAUGGUUAAGUGGGAAACGAUGUGGGAAGGCCCAGACAGCCAGGAUGUUGGCUUAGAAGCAGCCAUCAUUUAAAGAAAGCGUAAUAGCUCACUGGUCGAGUCGGCCUGCGCGGAAGAUGUAACGGGGCUAAACCAUGCACCGAAGCUGCGGCAGCGACGCUUAUGCGUUGUUGGGUAGGGGAGCGUUCUGUAAGCCUGUGAAGGUGUACUGUGAGGUAUGCUGGAGGUAUCAGAAGUGCGAAUGCUGACAUAAGUAACGAUAAAGCGGGUGAAAAGCCCGCUCGCCGGAAGACCAAGGGUUCCUGUCCAACGUUAAUCGGGGCAGGGUGAGUCGACCCCUAAGGCGAGGCCGAAAGGCGUAGUCGAUGGGAAACAGGUUAAUAUUCCUGUACUUGGUGUUACUGCGAAGGGGGGACGGAGAAGGCUAUGUUGGCCGGGCGACGGUUGUCCCGGUUUAAGCGUGUAGGCUGGUUUUCCAGGCAAAUCCGGAAAAUCAAGGCUGAGGCGUGAUGACGAGGCACUACGGUGCUGAAGCAACAAAUGCCCUGCUUCCAGGAAAAGCCUCUAAGCAUCAGGUAACAUCAAAUCGUACCCCAAACCGACACAGGUGGUCAGGUAGAGAAUACCAAGGCGCUUGAGAGAACUCGGGUGAAGGAACUAGGCAAAAUGGUGCCGUAACUUCGGGAGAAGGCACGCUGAUAUGUAGGUGAAGCGACUUGCUCGUGGAGCUGAAAUCAGUCGAAGAUACCAGCUGGCUGCAACUGUUUAUUAAAAACACAGCACUGUGCAAACACGAAAGUGGACGUAUACGGUGUGACGCCUGCCCGGUGC